Non-coding RNA from Camellia sinensis, 935 nucleotides. The record is from RefSeq and is a predicted model, not a curated record. Lineage: Eukaryota; Viridiplantae; Streptophyta; Magnoliopsida; Ericales; Theaceae.
AUUGGUUUUAGAAUGAUACCUUCAAAGGCCAAUUUGUUCUGAGCACAGCAGACAUCGAGGCAGUCAGCUAUGUAUUUCCUACUUUGAAAUGAAACUUUCAACUCAAGGCCUUCGACGAAGUUCUUGACACUACUAUUGAGUUUGACGUCUGGUAGGGCAUGUAUAUCGUGAACAAAACCUCCAUUGACCUGAAGGCUUUCUUGGUUCGUAUCCCCAAACAGGAUUGCCAAAAUUGAAGAAAUAACGAAUCAAUUCCCCCAAGCCCUACCCCUCUUAGAGGACAAGAAAAGUUACUGUACCUACCUCCUCAUAUGCUCCAACAAAAACCGGCAAGAAAAGCUCUCUAAGCAGAAAAGAAAGUUUUCUUCCCAGAUCUGAACAGGAAGGUGCUACCCCACUUGCCAAGAGAACCAGAUCCACCUACAAAGCGAACAUUGCAACUAGUCCCUCCAGUUCUUCCUCUCUAAAGGAAUUAAGCCAUUCUGAAAUGCAACCCUUAAGGAUUUCACAAUAACUUCUAUAAGCAGGACUGCAUCAUGCCCAGAAGUGAGUAUAAAUGACGUAAUUCCUGUUGCUGUUCUCUUUGAAGUUCUGUAGGCUCACAAUACUUCUGACAAGAAUUCAUGCCAAAUCUUAGGUACGAGGCAUGGCUUCUUGGAUCACAUUUGUCUUGUUCUUGUCCACCCCAAUUCCUCUCUGAUGAACCAGAAAUCCCAAGAAAUUUCCUACGGUAACACCAAAAGCACACUUCAAAGGAUUCAUUUUCAAGUCGUAUUUCUAUAACAUUGCCCGAGGGGUAGCAGUGCGCGUUAAACAAUUCAGACCCUCAAUUUUUUCGAUCUAGUCUUAUGAGUGCAAUGUGAAACAUAGAUGCGAGUCUAGAUUUGGAAAAUUUUAUAGAAAAUCCAUUUUAUUGCAAAACUAUUGCUAGAAAU